RNAcentral lists this ribosomal RNA (347 nucleotides) under uncultured bacterium. Its description in RNAcentral is "bacterial SSU rRNA". It matches the Rfam family "Bacterial small subunit ribosomal RNA", at positions 917 to 1267 of the family's 1533-position model. The record is from RNAcentral.
GGGCCCGCACAAGCGGUGGAGCAUGUGGUUUAAUUCGAUGAUACGCGAGGAACCUUACCAGGGCUUAAAUGUAAGUUGCAUAGAUCAGAGAUGGUCUUUUCUUCGGACUACUUACAAGGUGCUGCAUGGUUGUCGUCAGCUCGUGCCGUGAGGUGUCAGGUUAAGUCCUAUAACGAGCGCAACCCCCAUCGUUAGUUGCCAACGAGUAAUGUCGGGAACUCUAACGAAACUGCCGGUGCAAACCGUGAGGAAGGUGGGGAUGACGUCAAAUCAUCACGGCCCUUACGUCCUGGCUACACACGUGCUACAAUGGUCGGUACAGAGAGCAGCCACUACGCGAGUAGGAG